GCUGACGACAAUAGCACGAUGGCACCACCUGAUCCCUUCCCGAACUCAGAAGUGAAACAUCGUAGCGCCGA
RNAcentral lists this ribosomal RNA (71 nucleotides) under Psychrobacter coccoides. The record is from RNAcentral. Lineage: Bacteria; Pseudomonadati; Pseudomonadota; Gammaproteobacteria; Moraxellales; Moraxellaceae.